RNAcentral lists this ribosomal RNA (510 nucleotides) under uncultured bacterium. RNAcentral describes it as "partial 16S ribosomal RNA". It matches the Rfam family "Bacterial small subunit ribosomal RNA", at positions 28 to 507 of the family's 1533-position model. The record is from RNAcentral.
GACGAACGCUGGCGGCGUGCUUAACACAUGCAAGUCGAACGAAGAGCGACGGAAGCUUGCUUCUAUCAAUCUUAGUGGCGAACGGGUGAGUAACGCGUAAUCAACCUGCCCUUCAGAGGGGGACAACAGUUGGAAACGACUGCUAAUACCGCAUACGAUCUAAUCUCGGCAUCGAGGAUGGAUUAAAGGUUGCCUCUACAUGUAAGAUAUCACUGAAGGAGGGGAUUGCGUCUGAUUAGCUAGUUGGAGGGGUAACGGCCCACCAAGGCGAUGAUCAAUAGCCGGUCUGAGAGGAUGAACGGCCACAAUGGGACUGAGACACGGCCCAGACUCCUAAGGGAGGCAGCAGUGGGGAAUCUUCCGCAAUGGACGAAAGUCUGACGGAGCAACGCCGCGUGAGUGAUGACGGCCUUCGGGUUGUAAAGCUCUGUUAAUCGGGACGAAAGGCCUUCUUGCGAAUAGUGAGAAGGAUUGACGGUACCGGAAUAGAAAGCCACGGCUAACUACGUG